RNAcentral lists this ribosomal RNA (253 nucleotides) under uncultured bacterium. RNAcentral describes it as "partial 16S ribosomal RNA". It matches the Rfam family "Bacterial small subunit ribosomal RNA", at positions 524 to 776 of the family's 1533-position model. The record is from RNAcentral.
UACGUAGGGUGCAAGCGUUAAUCGGAAUUACUGGGCGCAAAGGGCGCGUAGGUGGCGCUGUAAGUCGGGUGUGAAAUUUCGGAGCUUAACUCCGAAACUGCAUUCGAUACUGCGGUGCUUGAGGACUGGAGAGGAGACUGGAAUUCAUGGUGUAGCAGUGAAAUGCGUAGAGAUCAUGAGGAAGACCAGUGGCGAAGGCGGGUCUCUGGACAGUUCCUGACACUGAGGCACGAAGGCCAGGGGAGCAAACGGG